Molecule: small RNA, 182 nt
Filed under: Arabidopsis thaliana (thale cress)
Lineage: Eukaryota; Viridiplantae; Streptophyta; Magnoliopsida; Brassicales; Brassicaceae
Description: ATSL122830
Source: RNAcentral
UUUUUUUAUAUAAAAUACUCUAAAAUUUCUAUUAAUAUUAAAUUUAUUAAAUAAAUUUUAACUAAUUAAUCCGUGGUCCAACCCGGUUGACCCGAUGACCCGGUGACCCAGAAUGUAGUCCGGUUCAUCGUCCGGGUCGGGUUUCAAAACAUGUUGUUUCGAUUUUGUAGGAUUGGAUUCAA